AGUGAACGCUGGCGGCAGGCCUAACACAUGCAAGUCGAACGGCAGCACAGUAAGAGCUUGCUCUUACGGGUGGCGAGUGGCGGACGGGUGAGGAAUACAUCGGAAUCUACUUUUUCGUGGGGGAUAACGUAGGGAAACUUACGCUAAUACCGCAUACGACCUACGGGUGAAAGCAGGGGAUCUUCGGACCUUGCGCGAUUGAAUGAGCCGAUGUCGGAUUAGCUAGUUGGCGGGGUAAAGGCCCACCAAGGCGACGAUCCGUAGCUGGUCUGAGAGGAUGAUCAGCCACACUGGAACUGAGACACGGUCCAGACUCCUACGGGAGGCAGCAGUGGGGAAUAUUGGACAAUGGGCGCAAGCCUGAUCCAGCCAUACCGCGUGGGUGAAGAAGGCCUUCGGGUUGUAAAGCCCUUUUGUUGGGAAAGAAAAGCAGCAGGUUAAUACCCCGCUGUUCCGACGGUACCCAAAGAAUAAGCACCGGCUAACUUCGUG
Molecule: ribosomal RNA, 492 nt
Filed under: uncultured bacterium
Lineage: Bacteria
Description: partial 16S ribosomal RNA
Rfam family: Bacterial small subunit ribosomal RNA
Source: RNAcentral